AUUGAACGCUGGCGGCAUGCUUUACACAUGCAAGUCGAACGGCAGCGCGGGCUUCGGCCUGGCGGCGAGUGGCGAACGGGUGAGUAAUGCAUCGGAACGUGCCCAGUAGUGGGGGAUAGCCCGGCGAAAGCCGGAUUAAUACCGCAUACGACCUGAGGGUGAAAGCGGGGGACUGAAAGGCCUCGCGCUAUUGGAGCGGCCGAUGUCGGAUUAGCUAGUGGUGGGGUAAAGGCUUACCAAGGCGACGAUCCGUAGCUGGUCUGAGAGGACGACCAGCCACACUGGGACUGAGACACGGCCCAGACUCCUACGGGAGGCAGCAGUGGGGAAUUUUGGACAAUGGGGGCAACCCUGAUCCAGCCAUGCCGCGUGCGGGAAGAAGGCCUUCGGGUUGUAAACCGCUUUUGUUCGGGAAGAAAUCCUCUGGGCUAAUACCCCGGGGGGAUGACGGUACCGGAAGAAUAAGCACCGGCUAACUACGUG
This 483-nucleotide ribosomal RNA is filed under the name uncultured bacterium. RNAcentral describes it as "partial 16S ribosomal RNA". It matches the Rfam family "Bacterial small subunit ribosomal RNA", at positions 28 to 507 of the family's 1533-position model. The record is from RNAcentral.